AAAGCGAUGGCAGACCCCGACCAGUCAGGUCGAUACAGCAAACGCGAGCCGAUGGGAUAGUAUUGUACUUCGUUAAGUCGCAGCGGAUAGAACGAAAAAUUACGACGAUCAGUCGCCCGUGUGUCCGUGGCAUAGCACCGAGUCUGCUCAAUCUGGACGGUUUUGUUCUGCUUCCCUGAGAGUGCGUGCGGUAAAUUAAUUCCGGUAGCGUCAUCAGAAGCAGAUUCGGGGCUUGC
This is a long non-coding RNA of Anopheles maculipalpis, 236 nucleotides long. RefSeq lists it as uncharacterized. The record is from RefSeq and is a predicted model, not a curated record. Lineage: Eukaryota; Metazoa; Arthropoda; Insecta; Diptera; Culicidae. The transcript has 2 exons.